GGCGGGGUAGCUCAGCUGGUUUAGAGCAGCGGAAUCAUAAUCCGCGUGUCGGGGGUUCGAGUCCCUCCCCCGCUACCA
RNAcentral lists this transfer RNA (78 nucleotides) under Rhodospirillaceae bacterium. RNAcentral's name for it is "tRNA-Met". It matches the Rfam family "tRNA". From Rfam's summary of the family: Transfer RNA (tRNA) molecules are approximately 80 nucleotides in length. Lineage: Bacteria; Pseudomonadati; Pseudomonadota; Alphaproteobacteria; Rhodospirillales; Rhodospirillaceae. The record is from RNAcentral. RNAcentral also lists the same sequence under 2 other names.